CAGCCGCCGCGGGAAUACGUAGGUGGCAAGCGUCGUCCGGAAUUAUUGGGCGUAAAGCGCGCGCAGGUGGUUUAAUAAGUCUGAUGUGAAAGCCCACGGCUCAACCGUGGAGGGUCAUUGGAAACUGUUAAACUUGAGUGCAGGAGAGAAAAGUGGAAUUCCUAGUGUAGCGGUGAAAUGCGUAGAGAUUAGGAGGAACACCAGUGGCGAAGGCGGCUUUUUGGCCCGUAACUGACACUGAGGCGCGAAAGCGUGGGGAGCAAACAGGAUUAGAUACCCCAGUAGUCCCUGUCUCUUAUAC
RNAcentral lists this ribosomal RNA (301 nucleotides) under uncultured bacterium. Its description in RNAcentral is "partial 16S ribosomal RNA". It matches the Rfam family "Bacterial small subunit ribosomal RNA", at positions 509 to 807 of the family's 1533-position model. The record is from RNAcentral.